RNAcentral lists this ribosomal RNA (468 nucleotides) under uncultured bacterium. RNAcentral's name for it is "partial 16S ribosomal RNA". It matches the Rfam family "Bacterial small subunit ribosomal RNA", at positions 28 to 507 of the family's 1533-position model. The record is from RNAcentral.
GACGAACGCUGGCGGCGUGCUUAACACAUGCAAGUCGAACGGAAAGGCCCUGCUUUUGUGGGGUGCUCGAGUGGCGAACGGGUGAGUAACACGUGAGUAACCUGCCCUUGACUUUGGGAUAACUUCAGGAAACUGGGGCUAAUACCGGAUAGGAGCUCCUGCUGCAUGGUGGGGGUUGGAAAGUUUCGGCGGUUGGGGAGGGACUCGCGGCUUAUCAGCUUGUUGGUGGGGUAGUGGCUUACCAAGGCUUUGACGGGUAGCCGGCCUGAGAGGGUGACCGGCCACAUUGGGACUGAGAUACGGCCCAGACUCCUACGGGAGGCAGCAGUGGGGAAUAUUGCACAAUGGGCGGAAGCCUGAUGCAGCAACGCCGCGUGAGGGAUGACGGCCUUCGGGUUGUAAACCGCUUUCGCCUGUGACGAAGCGUGAGUGACGGUAAUGGGUAAAGAAGCACCGGCUAACUACGUG